GAGAGCUUGCUCUUUGGAUCAGUGGCGAACGGGUGAGUAACACGUGAGCAAUCUGCCCUUGACUCUGGGAUAAGCGUUGGAAACGACGUCUAAUACCGGAUACGAGCUGUGACCGCAUGGUCAACAGUUGGAAAGAACUUCGGUCAAGGAUGAGCUCGCGGCCUAUCAGCUUGUUGGUGAGGUAAUGGCUCACCAAGGCGUCGACGGGUAGCCGGCCUGAGAGGGUGACCGGCCACACUGGGACUGAGACACGGCCCAGACUCCUACGGGAGGCAGCAGUGGGGAAUAUUGCACAAUGGGCGCAAGCCUGAUGCAGCAACGCCGCGUGAGGGACGACGGCCUUCGGGUUGUAAACCUCUUUUAGCAAGGAAGAAGCGAAAGUGACGGUACUUGCAGAAAAAGCACCGGCUAACUACGUGCCAGCAGCCGCGGUAAUACGUAGGGUGCAAGCGUUAUCCGGAAUUAUUGGGCGUAAAGAGCUCGUAGGCGGUUUGUCGCGUCUGCUGUGAAAUCUGGGGGCUCAACCCCCAGCCUGCAGUGGGUACGGGCAGACUAGAGUGCGGUAGGGGAGAUUGGAAUUCCUGGUGUAGCGGUGGAAUGCGCAGAUAUCAGGAGGAACACCGAUGGCGAAGGCAGAUCUCUGGGCCGUAACUGACGCUGAGGAGCGAAAGGGUGGGGAGCAAACAGGCUUAGAUACCCUGGUAGUCCACCCCGUAAACGUUGGGAACUAGUUGUGGGGUCCAUUCCACG
RNAcentral lists this ribosomal RNA (750 nucleotides) under Microbacterium sp. Its description in RNAcentral is "bacterial SSU rRNA". It matches the Rfam family "Bacterial small subunit ribosomal RNA", at positions 74 to 845 of the family's 1533-position model. The record is from RNAcentral. Lineage: Bacteria; Bacillati; Actinomycetota; Actinomycetes; Micrococcales; Microbacteriaceae.